CGAAUCGAUAUCCCGUACGCCGUUUGAACAUCAUCUAGGUUAAGUUGAAGUGAAGUCAGGGUUCUCGAAUCUCGUCUGUCUCCUAGUCCGGUUGUCGAACCCGCUCCGUUCUCCAGGAAGAAAAAGGCGUUGUUUUUUCUUCCCCCGACAGGCGACGAGGGGGAAAUUAAAGGCAGAGUCUCGUUUUUAAUCUCGGUUUGUAGAAAGAUCGCGUCGGCCCUGUGGGCAUGGGCCAGGAGGAAAUACCAACAGAUAUCCCGUUAAAGGAAAGUGCCAUUUUGUCCCUGUUUGCGGUACUCGAAAGGCCGACGGCGAAACGCGAUGGGUUUCUAGUUAUGGGUCGCGAUCCAAAGCUCGCCGGCCAGUUGUCUAUGCGACGAACCUUCUGCCUUUAAUUCCUGCUGAUGGUCGAGAAAAAAGUCCCUGUCGAAAAGGGAAAAGGAAAAUAUGAAGCCAAGGAAUUUUGAUUCAAAUGACAACUUUAAGGUCUCCAAAUCCAACAUCUGGAGUCGCGAGCUCCGAAAUCGAUUUGUCCUGAGCUCAGGGAAACGGAGCAUCACAUUCCAAAGUAUCAAUGGCCAACCGAAGCGUAACAUCAGAAGCUGCAGGAUAUCAGUCCUUGCAGCUAGGACGCCAUCUUCCUCCGAAGAUGAAGAAACGGAGAUUUAUGAGAAGCGGAGAACACAAAAUAAAAUGUGUGAUCGAAAAGAAAUAGGGAAUGUUGAUACUUCUAACAGCGGAAGCAAUAUUAGGGGAUGCAGGAUAUCUGUUUUAGCACGAAGCGGGCGCCACUAUUUGUCGGAAGAUGAAGAUGAAGAACCCAUGUUUACUCCUCCUCCACACAGCCUGCGAAAGCGCCACUGUUCAACUAAAGAAAAUCUGGCUUCUUCAUCUCGUGAAGAUGGAAUUCGUAGGAGUCAGAGACAGCGCAAGCUAAAAUAUGAAAACUGUAAUGAUUCAUGGAUAUUUGGAUCGCAGUCUCUUAAAGGGUAUCCUAGCUUGACUGAGAACAAAAAAGAACAACCUUUAGAGGAAGAGGAAGAAGAAGAGGAAGAGGAGGAGGAAGAAGAAGAAGAAGAGGAGGAGGAGAAUGUCAAUGAAGAAAAUAACCAAAGUAAAGAGAAGGCUUCAUCGAAGCAAGAGGCAGGGAUGAAGAAAGAAGCAGACAAAAAAGAAGGCUCUUCUGAUGAAGGCGAUGAGAACGAGGACAAUUAUCAAGAUAUGUACGCACGUGUGAAACAGCGCAGGCGUCAACAAAAGAACUCAGAUUCAACAGGCUCUUCUGCGGACGAUGAAGCUGUUUCCAAGAGAAGAAUAAGGACGAGGAGUGGGAAACAAAGGCAAGAGAAAAUUAAAUACCAGCUUAGAAAAACUAAGCCCACAGUUGAACGGUUUCAAAUUGCAGAGCCAUCGUCAAGAAGGCAAGUUCUACGGGAAGUAUUUGCACGGAAAAUUCACAGGAAAAGGAGAAGGUCUUCUUCUAGUUCUUCAUCUUCAGAUGGUCAUUAUGAUCGUAAUCGAGAUCGAGAACGUGAUCGGGACCGUGACCGUGAUCGUGAUAGAGAUAGGAAAAGGUCCAGAAACAGAUUGGAACUAGCCGGCGGAAACAGUAAAUCAAACACAGGAAAACUCGCUGAUGUGGACCCAAUCUCUCUAGAUCAUUCGAUCCGUUUUAGUAAUAUCGGCGGCCUGGAGAAACAUGUGUCUUGCUUAAAGGAAAUGAUCCUGUUCCCGAUUUUGUACCCAGAAAUAUUCUCUAGAUUCGGCGUAGUACCGCCGAAAGGUGUGUUGUUUCACGGCCCACCAGGUACUGGUAAAACACUGAUGGCAAGGGCACUUGCGAACGAAUGUUCCAUAGGAGAACGAAAAGUGUCAUUCUUUAUGCGGAAAGGGGCAGACUGUUUGAGUAAAUGGGUCGGUGAAUCGGAACGACAGCUCAGAAUAUUAUUCCAAGAGGCUCAUGAAGGUAGACCUUCGAUAAUCUUUUUUGAUGAACUUGACGGUUUGGCUCCUGUUAGGUCUUCUAAACAAGAUCAGAUUCAUGCCAGCAUUGUUUGCACCCUGCUUGCACUUAUGGACGGUCUUGAUAACCGGGGUGAUAUAAUCGUUAUUGGUGCAACAAACCGUAUCGAUUCAAUCGAUCCCGCAUUGCGACGUCCUGGGCGUUUCGAUAGGGAACUCCAUUUUCCCCUUCCAGGCGUUAAAGAGAGGCGGGAGAUCCUCGGAAUCCACGCCAAAUCGUGGGCAGAUGCUGGUGUUUUGAACAAGAUGGCAGAAACGACUGCGGGGUACUGCGGUUCAGACCUCAAAGCGCUCUGUACAGAAGCGGUUAUCCAGUCGCUCAAGAGAGUUUACCCACAGAUUUAUAACUCGAGCAAGAAACUUCUUCUCGAUCACAAUAAAGUCAAGGUCUCAAAAAUUGAUUUUGAACGAGCACAGCGUAGUAUAGUCCCAGCGGCACAGAGAGCAAUGUACACACUGGGAAGGAAGUUGCCUUUAUAUUUGGAACCCCUUCUCAGCCAACCUCUUGCACAAUUACUGUCGUAUGUGGGCGAUGUUUUUCCAACGGCUUUUAAUAGACUUCAUGGGUGCACAAGGGUAAAUAGAUCGCCUAGCUUACUUAUUGUAGGAGAGCAGAAGCAAACAUCUUUUCUUGCAACUUCUCUAUUGUACAAACUUGAACACUGCCCAACUCUUUCAAUAUCCCUGGAAACGCUGUAUUCUGAGUCGGCUCGAUCACCUGAGGAAACUGUGACCAAGGUUUUUAAAGAACUUCCUCAUAGUUUAGGUUCGAUCCUCUGGUUUGGAGAUAUUUCCUUAUGGUGGAGGAAUGUCUCGGAGACAGUGAAAGCCGUAUUUACAAGUCUCUCUUCUCUUUUGGAUCCUUCGCUGCCGAUCCUGUUCCUCGCUACAUCUCAGACUGGAAACACGCCAUCGGAAAUAGACCGGUUUUUUAACAAAUACAGGAAUGAGGUGUUCACGGUCGAAAGGCCGAGCAGGGAGAUGCUUGAAAACUUUUUCCGGCCCCUUUUCCGAAUGAGAGCACUGAAACCACCCCCAGUGGCUAAGAAAGAGAGGCCGCUUGAACAGCUGGCCGAAGCCCCUCCUACACCCCCUCCAAAGCUAACAAAAGAACAGCUCGAGCAUCUUCACAACGAGGAAGAAAACACUCUUCGUGAAUUGAGAAUUUUUCUCAGACAAAUUUGCGCUAAACUCGCUCGCAAUAAACAAUUUUACAUGUUCUCCAAACCCGUUGAUACUGAAGAGGUUCCAGAUUAUUUACAAGUAAUUCAAGAGCCGAUGGACCUUGAGACUAUGAUGACCAAAAUUGACCUUCAUAAAUAUACUUGUGCUGAAGAUUUUCUUAAAGAUAUCGAUAUGAUAUGUGCAAAUGCUCUCGAGUACAACCCAGACAGAGAUCCUGCUGAUAAAUUGAUCCGGCACCGAGCUUGUUAUCUUCGCGACACGGCAUAUGCACUUAUUAAAGCCGAAAUGGACUCGGAUUUUGAAGUGAACUGUCGAAGCAUACGCGACGCUCGGAAGGGAAGGGAUGAACAAAUGGAAGAAAAGAAGGAGGAGGUUGUUCAACCCUUGGAAGAGAAAGAAGAAGAUAAGAGGGAAGACGGUCUAGAAAAGAAGCCAAUGAACGAUAAGCGUCGUAGGCGCAAACGUUGGUCGAAGGGCUUUAUAAGCAAGCCUAAAAAAAAUUUACAUAAUGAUACAAAUUCAGAACCCCAUUCGACUCCGAUUAAAAGGUGCAAGUGUGAUGAAGAAGUGCUUGAAAAUGGACUAGACGAGUCUACAACACUGGACGAAAGCGUAUCUGUCCACGAGGAGGAGACAUCGCAAAAAGUGGUAGUCAACAAGGUGGAACUUGACGCCAUUUUCCAUCAGACAGUCGACGCCGCAGACAGCGCAAGCGGUUUUGAGCGUCUCCUCGAUCUCUACUCCGCCCUCGGAAAUAUCAUAGACUCAUACAGCAAAUCUUGGGAUCGGACCAAAAUGCCGUCGGAGCUGAAAGAGCAGUUGGACAAAUUCACCGCUCGUAUUGAAACUGAAAGUUCCGACACAAAAGAAGAAAUUGAAGACCAUGAAGAGGAAACCCAUUUUUAGAAAUUUUUCACCCUAGUUUUUAUUUAUAAUAUACCUUUUUGCCAGCUUGACUUAUAUUCUUUUGGUUGUUGAUGGUUUUUCUCUCUCUUCUAAUAACAACUACACCUCUUCACUGACAGCACGGGAAACGGCCAAAUUAAAGAGCAUGUGCGAGAGACUGAAAUAUACGUAUAAAAAGCAUGUGCUUGUAUGUCAUAAACAGGCAUACAAUAUAGGAAAUAUAUGUCCAAGAUGCAAAUCAGAAAAUAAAUAUAUAUAAAAAAAAUUAGACUGUAAGUAAUUUAUAAAUAAUU
This 4406-nucleotide unclassified non-coding RNA is filed under the name Cimex lectularius (bed bug). RNAcentral describes it as "aTPase family AAA domain-containing protein 2B-like, transcript variant X3". The record is from RNAcentral. Lineage: Eukaryota; Metazoa; Arthropoda; Insecta; Hemiptera; Cimicidae.